This 87-nucleotide transfer RNA is filed under the name Bacteroidota bacterium. RNAcentral describes it as "Bacteroidetes bacterium tRNA-Leu". It matches the Rfam family "tRNA". Rfam says of the family: Transfer RNA (tRNA) molecules are approximately 80 nucleotides in length. Their secondary structure includes four short double-helical elements and three loops (D, anti-codon, and T loops). Further hydrogen bonds mediate the characteristic L-shaped molecular structure. tRNAs have two regions of fundamental functional importance: the anti-codon, which is responsible for specific mRNA codon recognition, and the 3' end, to which the tRNAs corresponding amino acid is attached (by aminoacyl-tRNA synthetases). tRNAs cope with the degeneracy of the genetic code in two manners: having more than one tRNA (with a specific anti-codon) for a particular amino acid; and 'wobble' base-pairing, i.e. permitting non-standard base-pairing at the 3rd anti-codon position. Lineage: Bacteria; Pseudomonadati; Bacteroidota. RNAcentral also lists the same sequence under 1 other name. The record is from RNAcentral.
GCGGAGGUGGCGAAAUUGGUAGACGCACUACCUUGAGGUGGUAGCGCUCAUAAACCGGGCGUGGGAGUUCGAGUCUCCUCUUCCGCA